Molecule: ribosomal RNA, 706 nt
Filed under: Hydrogenophaga sp.
Lineage: Bacteria; Pseudomonadati; Pseudomonadota; Betaproteobacteria; Burkholderiales; Comamonadaceae
Description: bacterial SSU rRNA
Rfam family: Bacterial small subunit ribosomal RNA
Source: RNAcentral
GCGCUGACGAGUGGCGAACGGGUGAGUAAUGCAUCGGAACGUGCCCAGUCGUGGGGGAUAACUAUCCGAAAGGAUAGCUAAUACCGCAUACGAUCUGCGGAUGAAAGCGGGGGACCUUCGGGCCUCGCGCGAUUGGAGCGGCCGAUGUCAGAUUAGGUAGUUGGUGGGGUAAAGGCUCACCAAGCCAACGAUCUGUAGCUGGUCUGAGAGGACGACCAGCCACACUGGGACUGAGACACGGCCCAGACUCCUACGGGAGGCAGCAGUGGGGAAUUUUGGACAAUGGGCGCAAGCCUGAUCCAGCAAUGCCGCGUGCAGGAAGAAGGCCUUCGGGUUGUAAACUGCUUUUGUACGGAACGAAACGGCUCUGGUUAAUACCCGGGGCUAAUGACGGUACCGUAAGAAUAAGCACCGGCUAACUACGUGCCAGCAGCCGCGGUAAUACGUAGGGUGCAAGCGUUAAUCGGAAUUACUGGGCGUAAAGCGUGCGCAGGCGGUUUUGUAAGACAGGCGUGAAAUCCCCGGGCUCAACCUGGGAAUGGCGCUUGUGACUGCAAAGCUGGAGUGCGGCAGAGGGGGAUGGAAUUCCGCGUGUAGCAGUGAAAUGCGUAGAUAUGCGGAGGAACACCGAUGGCGAAGGCAAUCCCCUGGGCCUGCACUGACGCUCAUGCACGAAAGCGUGGGGAGCAAACAGGAUUAGAUACCC